GAUGAACGCUGGCGGCGUGCCUAAUGCAUGCAAGUCGAGCGAACAGACGAGGAGCUUGCUCCUCUGACGUUAGCGGCGGACGGGUGGGUAACACGUGGAUAACCUACCUAUAAGACUGGGAUAACUUCGGGAAACCGGAGCUAAUACCGGAUAAUAUAUUGAACCGCAUGGUUCAAUAGUGAAAGACGGUUUUGCUGUCACUUAUAGAUGGAUCCGCGCCGCAUUAGCUAGUUGGUAAGGUAACAGCUUACCAAGGCAACGAUGCGUAGCCGACCUGAGAGGGUGAUCGGCCACACUGGAACUGAGACACGGUCCAGACUCCUAAGGGAGGCAGCAGUAGGGAAUCCUCCGCAAUGGGCGAAAGCCUGACGGAGCAACGCCGCGUGAGUGAUGAAGGUCUUCGGAUCGUAAAACUCUGUUAUUAGGGAAGAACAAAUGUGUAAGUAACUAUGCACGUCUUGACGGUACCUAAUCAGAAAGUCACGGCUAACUACGUG
RNAcentral lists this ribosomal RNA (497 nucleotides) under uncultured bacterium. RNAcentral describes it as "partial 16S ribosomal RNA". It matches the Rfam family "Bacterial small subunit ribosomal RNA", at positions 28 to 507 of the family's 1533-position model. The record is from RNAcentral.